AAGGUACAAAUUAUAGUGUUUAGUAGUAAAGAAAGUAUUCUUAAGCAUUAGUAUAGUUAUAGAAUAUGUAUUUUUAAUUAUAGUGGAUUAGUAUAGUGAUAGAAUUUUUAAAUAGGUUAAAGUUAAGUUAUUAAAAAGAAGGAUUGAUUUUUUGUACCUUGUGUAUCAGGGUUUAUUAAAAAUAUAUUAAUUAUUUAAUAGUCUCGAACUAUAAAGAGCUAAUACUAUAUUUAUUUAAUUGUGACAUAAACUUUUUUAAUAUAGUAUUAGUAAUGAAACGUUAGUCGUUUUUUAAGAUAUCUAGUUUUUUAAGAAAUAAAUUUAAUUUAGUUAGUUAGUUGGUUUAUAUUACUUAGUUAAUAUAAAUUAGUAACUAAGUAAUACUUUGAGGGAUAAGCUUUAAAGUAAAGUAUUAUAAUUUAUAUAUAUAUGUUAGUUAGGAAGAUUGGUAGGAUUGAAAAUUUUUAUCUUUAGUUUGUUAUAAUUAGUUUUUCUAUAAGUAAGAUUUAUAUAGGAAGUUUAAGUUAUUUAUUAAAAUGAUUUGUUUAAUGGGGGUAUAUAGGCAAUAAUGAUAAAAUUAGUAUAAGUGUUUGUAAGAUUAAGUUUAUAAGAUAAGGUUAAGUUAAGGAACUCGGCAAAUUAGCUUUUUGCCUGUUUAUUAAAAACAUGUCUUUUUGAUUAUAAUUUAAAGUCUAACCUGCCCAAUGAGGAGUUCAAUGGCCGCGGUAUUUUGACCGUGCAAAGGUAGCAUAAUCAUUAGUUUUUUAAUUGAAAGCUGGUAUGAAUGGUUGGACGAGAAAGCGACUGUCUCAAUUUAAUUGAAGUAGAAUUUUAUUUUUAAGUUAAAAAGCUUAAAUGAGUUUAAAAGACGAGAAGACCCUAUAGAGUUUAAUAUAUAUUAUUAAUACUUAAUUAUUAGUAUAUAUGAAUAGGUAUAUUAAUAUGUAUUUUGUUGGGGUGACAGGAAAAUAGACUUAACUUUUCCUACAUUAGUACAUUAAUUUAUGAGUGCAUGAUCUGCUGUUAGCGAUUAUAAGAUUAAAUUACCUUAGGGAUAACAGCGUAAUUCUUUUUGAGAGUUCUAAUCGAAAAGAGAGUUUGCGACCUCGAUGUUGGAUUAAAAUUGAUUUCUGGUGUAGAAGCUAGAAUAUUAGGUCUGUUCGACCUUUAAAAUUUUACAUGAUCUGAGUUUAAACCGGUGUAAGCCAGGUUGGUUUCUAUCUUUAAAUAGGUAAAGUAUCUUAGUACGAAAGGACCAGGUAUUUAUAAUAGUUAUUUAAUAUUGAAUAUUAGUAAU
Molecule: ribosomal RNA, 1297 nt
Filed under: Amphimallon solstitiale
Lineage: Eukaryota; Metazoa; Arthropoda; Insecta; Coleoptera; Scarabaeidae
Description: 16S ribosomal RNA
Rfam family: Archaeal large subunit ribosomal RNA (bases 605-1297)
Source: RNAcentral